UCUGGGUUGGCCGAGUGGUUAAGGCGUUGGACUUAAGUUCCAAUGGACAAGUGUCCGCGUUGGUUCGAACCCCACACCCAGUA
Ciona savignyi (Pacific transparent sea squirt) is the source of this 83-nucleotide non-coding RNA. NCBI's taxonomy places the organism in Eukaryota, Metazoa, Chordata, Ascidiacea, Phlebobranchia, Cionidae. The record is from Rfam.